RNAcentral lists this ribosomal RNA (479 nucleotides) under uncultured bacterium. RNAcentral's name for it is "partial 16S ribosomal RNA". It matches the Rfam family "Bacterial small subunit ribosomal RNA", at positions 28 to 523 of the family's 1533-position model. The record is from RNAcentral.
GACGAAAGCUGGCGGCGUGCUUAACACAUGCAAGUCGAACGGUAAGGCCCUUCGGGGUACACGAGUGGCGAACGGGUGAGUAACACGUGGGUGAUCUGCCCUGCACUUCGGGCUAAGCCUGGGAAACUGGGCACAAUACCGGAUAGGACCCUGGGAUGCAUCGCCUGGGGUGGAGAGCUUUUGCGGUGUGGGAUGGGCCCGCGGCCUAUCAGCUUGUUGGUGGGGUGAUGGCCUACCAAGGCGACGACGGGUAGCCGGCCUGGAGAGGGUGACCGGCCACACUGGGAGUGAGAUACGGCCCAGACUCCUACGGGAGGCAGCAGUGGGGAAUAUUGCACAAUGGGCGCAAGCCUGAUGCAGCGACGCCGCGUGAGGGAUGACGGCCUUCGGGUUGUAAACCUCUUUCAGCACCGACGAAGCGCAAGUGACGGUAGGUGCAGAAGAAGGACCGGCCAACUACGUGCCAGCCGCCGCCGUAA